RNAcentral lists this ribosomal RNA (692 nucleotides) under Flavobacterium sp. T25.08.P.RBT.MI.H.Gill.M. RNAcentral describes it as "bacterial SSU rRNA". It matches the Rfam family "Bacterial small subunit ribosomal RNA", at positions 60 to 752 of the family's 1533-position model. Lineage: Bacteria; Pseudomonadati; Bacteroidota; Flavobacteriia; Flavobacteriales; Flavobacteriaceae. The record is from RNAcentral.
AGUCGAGGGGUAUAUGUCUUCGGAUAUAGAGACCGGCGCACGGGUGCGUAACGCGUAUGCAAUCUACCUUUUACAGAGGGAUAGCCCAGAGAAAUUUGGAUUAAUACCUCAUAGUAUAGCUCUACCGCAUGGUAGUACUAUUAAAGUCACAACGGUAAAAGAUGAGCAUGCGUCCCAUUAGCUAGUUGGUAAGGUAACGGCUUACCAAGGCAACGAUGGGUAGGGGUCCUGAGAGGGAGAUCCCCCACACUGGUACUGAGACACGGACCAGACUCCUACGGGAGGCAGCAGUGAGGAAUAUUGGACAAUGGGCGCAAGCCUGAUCCAGCCAUGCCGCGUGCAGGAUGACGGUCCUAUGGAUUGUAAACUGCUUUUGUACGAGAAGAAACACUGCUUCGUGAAGCAGCUUGACGGUAUCGUAAGAAUAAGGAUCGGCUAACUCCGUGCCAGCAGCCGCGGUAAUACGGAGGAUCCAAGCGUUAUCCGGAAUCAUUGGGUUUAAAGGGUCCGUAGGCGGUUUAGUAAGUCAGUGGUGAAAGCCCAUCGCUCAACGGUGGAACGGCCAUUGAUACUGCUGAACUUGAAUUAUUAGGAAGUAACUAGAAUAUGUAGUGUAGCGGUGAAAUGCUUAGAGAUUACAUGGAAUACCAAUUGCGAAAGGCAGGUUACUACUAAUUGAUUGACGCUGAUGG